GCCGCCUCUCGCGCCUCCAGGUCAUCCACCACGUCAUCGACUACAUCUGCGACCUGCAGCACGCGCUGCUGCGCCACCCCGCCGUCGCCGCCUCCGCCCACGCCGCCCACGUGCCCUGCGCGCCGCCCACGCCCCCGGCCACCCCCGUCUCGGAGGACCGGCUCGAAGACGACGAGGACCUCUGCGCGACCUGCAGUCGACAGAGUUCGUGCACCGAGGAGGAGAUGGGCCCCGAGAGUUAGCACAGUGUGACGCAAAGCGCGUCCUGCGUCCUGCCGCGGCAGGACUGCUGACGUCACCUGUGACGUCGCCAGCUGCACUCGCCGUCCUCGCCCUUAGCACUGCCCGUGUGGCUUACAGUAGAGGCUGUGACUAAUCUGGAACUCCAGGACCGGUCUCCAGUUCCCUCGCCACUUCUCCAGGACGAGUACACCCAUCAGCAAUGGUUGUCGUCACAUCCUAGAAAUACCGUGCUUUACUCGUACAGUCAAUUUGAAAUCUUAUUUGGUUAGCUAUCUAAGUUUCCCCUCUUCAACGAAAAAAACUAAAAGGUAUCAUUGUUGACUCCGUUAUAAGUUACUAUGUUAACUUCUUUUAUUCUCUUAUUAUGCACACUGCCUCCACUGUAAUUCACUCCAAUUUUAAUAUUUGUUGGAAAUGUCUUUCGAAAUAUUUUGUUGAUCCCGUCACUGCAGCAACCAAUAUCUACAUGCAAAUACGAAAUUCCUGGUUUUUAGUGUAAUUUGAAAAUUAAUUUCAGUGUUAUCAACGAGUUCCAUCAAACGUGAUAGCAAACUGCAUACUACUUUUUAUAGGUUACAUAUUUUGAAGUUACUGAGGAAAUCUUUUUUUCCCAUUGGAGAAUCAGUGUGCUUCUGAAAAAUUCAUGGGAAUUAAGUCUAAGGAUUUUUUUUUUUUGCACAAGUAGAUAUUCUUGGUAUACAUUUUCUGGCUUAAGUACCACAACAUCAUCUGAUCGAGUGUUAGUAUGACACAGUUCACAAUGGAAUGAAGUGACCAAAAAUUAUCUUGUUUCUGUGACCAAACUGCCUGUAAUCUAUUACAUAAUUACUGGGUUGACUGAACAUUGCUAUUGUUAUUUGUGUAAAUUUGUGCCUCUUUGCUAUUAGGAGAACAUGGAUACAGUGCUAACUUGAACAUUAAUAGAAGGUAUGAAUUCAGCUUAGCUAAUGAAGAGUAAUUUUGCGGAAUUUGUAACAUGUGCCAAGUACAUCCCUUGGGAGGUAAUGUUACUGACAGAAAUUCUAUGACUAAUUGAACUGUGUUAUAGAACUGUAGAAAUGACAGCAUGUAAACAUGUACUGCUGUUCGGUUUUUUAAAUGAAAAAUAAAAUGAAAAGCAGAUUACAGCAUUACAUGUCGUUUCUACAGUUUAUAAACGUUAUGAAACACAGUCAACCAAAAAUAUUCUAAUUUGUCAGUGUUUGUCAGUUACUCUUACAUUUUAAAUUCGAGUUACAGCGUAAUUUUCCAAAACAGCUCACAUAAUUCCCUCUCCAGUGUCACUAAUGCUAUUAUAAAAAGUUAAAGUGAGGAAACAGAUAAUUGUAUAUUAUGUGAGAGUUAAAAUAUUUGCUGGGAAUGGCUUAUUAGAAGUGAAGAAUCAACAAUAGUACAACUGGGUAGCUAUUCGCUACUUAACUAUAGUCUCCAUGAAUCACUAUACAUGUGGCAGGUAACGAAAGACUUAUGCUUGAUGUGAAUGAAAAAGAACACUACCUUUUAUUUUACUGUGAAAUUUUCAAAUCUCUUCAGGUGACUAGGGCAAUUAAUGCACCUAGGAAAAGGAAACCAUUAGGAGUACAUCAUAGCAGAGAUACAAGAAGAAGACUAUUAUUUAUAAUUUUUGUGUAUAUAAUGAAAUUUAUAAAAAUAUGUAAAAUGAUAGAUAGAGCAUUGUAUAUUAAGACAGAUAUAGAAAGCAAUAUAAUGUAUUUUAUGGGAUAACAAAUAAAGCUUAAACAAUGAAAAUCUUCA
Molecule: long non-coding RNA, 1998 nt
Filed under: Schistocerca americana (American grasshopper)
Lineage: Eukaryota; Metazoa; Arthropoda; Insecta; Orthoptera; Acrididae
Description: uncharacterized LOC124605777
Source: RNAcentral